CCGCCCAUAGCUCAAUCAGGCAGAGCAGAUCCCUCUUAAGGAUAAGGUUGUAGGUUCGAUUCCUACUGGGCGGACAA
Molecule: transfer RNA, 77 nt
Filed under: Candidatus Tagabacteria bacterium CG09_land_8_20_14_0_10_41_14
Lineage: Bacteria; Candidatus Tagaibacteriota
Also listed under: 1 other name
Description: tRNA-Lys
Rfam family: tRNA
About the family: Transfer RNA (tRNA) molecules are approximately 80 nucleotides in length.
Source: RNAcentral